Molecule: RNase P RNA, 350 nt
Filed under: Hespellia stercorisuis DSM 15480
Lineage: Bacteria; Bacillati; Bacillota; Clostridia; Lachnospirales; Lachnospiraceae
Description: Bacterial RNase P class A
Rfam family: Bacterial RNase P class A
About the family: Ribonuclease P (RNase P) is a ubiquitous endoribonuclease, found in archaea, bacteria and eukarya as well as chloroplasts and mitochondria. Its best characterised activity is the generation of mature 5'-ends of tRNAs by cleaving the 5'-leader elements of precursor-tRNAs. Cellular RNase Ps are ribonucleoproteins.
Source: Rfam by way of RNAcentral
UAAGUAAGACAGACGAUCGCGGCUGCAUGAGAUCGAAAGAUCGCAGGCGAGGAAAGUCCGGGCUUCAAAGGGCAGGAUGCCGGAUAACGUCCGGUGGAGGUGACUCCAAGGCUAGUGCAACAGAAAUGAACCGCCAGGCAUGCCUGGUAAGGGUGGAAGGGCAGUGCAAGAGACUACCGCUUUCCUGGUAACAGGAGAGGCAUAUGUAAACCCCAUUCGAAGCAAAACCGAAUUAAGACUAUGCGGCUGCCCGUCGCGUCUUAGGUAGGUUGCUUGAACCUGAUGGCGACGUCAGGUCUAGAUAGAUGAUCGUUCAACGACAUAACCCGGCUUAUCGUCUUGCUUAAUUU